Molecule: ribosomal RNA, 474 nt
Filed under: uncultured Desulfobulbus sp.
Lineage: Bacteria; Pseudomonadati; Thermodesulfobacteriota; Desulfobulbia; Desulfobulbales; Desulfobulbaceae
Description: bacterial SSU rRNA
Rfam family: Bacterial small subunit ribosomal RNA
Source: RNAcentral
GGGCCCGCACAAGCGGUGGAGUAUGUGGUUUAAUUCGAUGCAACGCGAAGAACCUUACCUGGUCUUUGGACAUCCCGGAGACCCUUAGGAAACUAGGGGGUGCUUCCAUCUGGAAGAAUCUGGAGACAGGUGCUGCAUGGCUGUCGUCAGCUCGUGUCGUGAGAUGUUGGGUUUAAGUCCCGCAACGAGCGCAACCCUUGCCUUUAGUUGCCAGCAGUUCGGCUGGGCACUCUAAAGGGACUGCCGGUGUUAAACCGGAGGAAGGUGGGGAUGACGUCAAGUCCUCAUGGCCUUUAUGACCAGGGCUACACACGUACUACAAUGGCCGAUACAAAGGGCAGCGACACUGCGAGGUGAAGCCAAUCCCGUAAAAUCGGUCUCAGUCCGGAUUGGAGUCUGCAACUCGACUCCAUGAAGUUGGAAUCGCUAGUAAUCGUGGAUCAGCAUGCCACGGUGAAUACGUUCCCGGGCCUU